Erinaceus europaeus (western European hedgehog) is the source of this 999-nucleotide long non-coding RNA. RefSeq lists it as uncharacterized. The transcript has 3 exons. The record is from RefSeq and is a predicted model, not a curated record. NCBI's taxonomy places the organism in Eukaryota, Metazoa, Chordata, Mammalia, Eulipotyphla, Erinaceidae.
AGUGGUAAAGCAGAGCUGCAGGUGUCUCUCUGUGUCUCUCCCUCUCUGCCUUCCCCUCCCCUCUCAAAUGUCUCUCUAUCCAAUAAUAAAUAAAUAAAAUAAAAUUAAAAUUAAAAAAGAAGAAAUAAAAGAUGCCCAUGUAAAGCUCUUGAUUUCUAAGAUAAUGGUUGAAGUUACUAUCCCAUUUGUUUCAUGAGGUCUUCAUCAUAAGGGUUGCAGUGAUACUGAAUUCCUGUUGAAAGGAGUUGGGGAGGAAAAGGUCCCAUACAUAACUAUAUGAAUUUUCUGUUGAUCCUUCAUUUCUGUCUUAACUUCUAGGAAAUAGCCAUGUGUUUUGCCUGAGUGCUAGUUGCAGUCCACCUGGUGCACCUGAGAAUACAGUCUGAGUGUCCCAGACCAGUGCCUGAGAACACAGCUGCUGACCCACCGAAAGUGUUUGACACUAAGCCUCUUGACACUCAUCGAACAACACUAUCAUCUCGAGAAAGUUUUCCUGCAGAAGGCAGACUGUGACUCAUCUGGGGGACAGCCUGGCCAGCUCAGCCAUGUUUGGGCAGAGAGGAAAUCAGGCCAUCAACAUCUUUCAACAAAAGAACCGAAAGUAUGUUAACUUCAUUCUCAAACAGAUUUUUGUCUGUGUGAAUGCCUAGGUUUAUUGAAUGCACACUAGUUAACUCAUUUAAUCUAAUAUUUCCCCCCUAAGCAAACUCACAGCAUGGUGUCAUGACCACAAAAGACCUUUGAUUCCAAAUAUCAUUGAAUUCUAAGGCAGGAAAAACUUUUUUUCAUUCCUAGGGCUCACUACUCCAGAUUAUCUUUUUUUUUUUUUUUUUCUGGGCUGGAGGGAAGGCAGAAAAUUAAUAGGAAUAAAAAAGCCUUUUUAGGUGCUGUGCUAGCCCUUUUCUUGACUUCUAGGUAACAUUGACCCUUCUCUAUUUCUCAUGACUGUUUUCUUCCAGUGAAAUAAUUUCUUCAGGAACCUCUUUGAAUGCAAAGUGU